AGCGGGCUUUUUGACGUUNGUCAGGCUCAUAACCUGAAGGCCGCAGGUUCAAAUCCUGCCCCCGCAACCA
Molecule: transfer RNA, 70 nt
Filed under: Ensifer sp. Root74
Lineage: Bacteria; Pseudomonadati; Pseudomonadota; Alphaproteobacteria; Hyphomicrobiales; Rhizobiaceae
Description: tRNA-Leu
Rfam family: tRNA
About the family: Transfer RNA (tRNA) molecules are approximately 80 nucleotides in length. Their secondary structure includes four short double-helical elements and three loops (D, anti-codon, and T loops). Further hydrogen bonds mediate the characteristic L-shaped molecular structure. tRNAs have two regions of fundamental functional importance: the anti-codon, which is responsible for specific mRNA codon recognition, and the 3' end, to which the tRNAs corresponding amino acid is attached (by aminoacyl-tRNA synthetases). tRNAs cope with the degeneracy of the genetic code in two manners: having more than one tRNA (with a specific anti-codon) for a particular amino acid; and 'wobble' base-pairing, i.e. permitting non-standard base-pairing at the 3rd anti-codon position.
Source: RNAcentral